Pipra filicauda (Wire-tailed manakin) is the source of this 1649-nucleotide long non-coding RNA. RefSeq lists it as uncharacterized. NCBI's taxonomy places the organism in Eukaryota, Metazoa, Chordata, Aves, Passeriformes, Pipridae. The transcript is spliced from 3 exons. The record is from RefSeq and is a predicted model, not a curated record.
CAGGUGGGAAUGCUUUUGCUCUUAAGUUACAGAGUCAGGUUCAAGCUCUGUAAAUCCAUUCCAGUCAAACAUUAGGCUUUCAGUGCACUCCCCCAGCCAGCUUUGUCCUCAAACAUUCCUUCACGACCUUACCCUGCUUAAAAUCAGCCCGGCCCCAUCCCCCAGGUCACCCUGGCUGCCUGCCCAUCCACACAUUUCUGUCUGCCUUUUGAGUGUUUUCAGAAGCCCAUUAAAUUGUGCCUUGGCAGGCCAGACGCAUUCAGCUCGCCCUAAGACCCAAAGAGAGAAGGUUAUCAAAUUCCCUCAUCUCUGCCAGACGUACAAAGCUGGAAGUUCUCUAGCGCUGCGAGGAAGCUCUGCAGUUGCACAGAGUAAGAUGUUAGAACUUGUAAACAUGUCAUACAAUAUCGUAACACGCCCGUGGGGCAGGAGCUGGGAGGGCAUGGGGACAGAGAGCCUGCCCUCCGUGGAGCUCUUAAUGCACCUUUCUGGGGUUGGUUUUUUUAAACAGCACAACUGGAAUUAGCUCCACAUAAAGAGGCUGAUGCUGCUUUCUUAAAUCAACCAGUCCUGACAAUUUUCUUUCUAUGAUCUUUGGUGGAUCUUCUUGGCCGGGAGAGGAAAACGGGGCACGACACUCUUGCACCUUCUACUGGAUAACAACAGAAAAGAGAGAGGAAAAGUUCAGUUCUCCCGUAUGGGUGUGACCUCGUGCACCGGCAGCAUCCAGUUUCAGGGGAGAAAUCUCAGAGCAGCAGAAAAAAGGUUCAGUUUCGUUUGGCGUGGCACGAAGCUAAAAGUGUAUGUUUUAAUGCUGAUACCCGCACCCUCCUGGCACCCCAUUCUGCAUGUGCUACUCCUACAUUAAUACAUCAAGCGUUUCAGUUUUGAGCAGAGCUAAAUUCUUCCAAAGCCAAGGACGGUAACAUGAACUUGCUGCAGGUUUGAUCUCCUGUUUUUUCACUUUGCUGAACGUUGUGUUUCCAAUUCCUCCUGCCACACACCACCACAUUCCCUGUGACAGCAGAAUCCUCAGGACACCUGAUGUCACUGUUAUAAACACCAUGGGCUGAGGAUACAACGUCACCAACUCCACCUAAUACAUAUCAGCCCACAGAGCAACAAAUAAUCUCCUUUUUCUUCUGGAGAAGAACCCAGGACCCAGGAGGCCGUGUCUGAGUGCAGACAAGAAGCUCUCAGCCACCUCACAAGCGUAUUUUUAAGGUUACACUGCAGCAGGUGGCUUUCCACUGAACAGCUUUAAAUGUCCUUUUGAGCUGCACGUGGUUCCAAAAGUACAACCCAGAGCAGAGCAAGUACUGAUGGACCAAUAUGUUUGGGAACUUCACACUGUUGGAUCUGGUACUGCCCAUCUCUGCUCUUAAAAACUGUGUUUCCAACUAAGCUAUUGAUGAGAAUAAAGGAAAAGUCACAAAAAUAAAGUUCUAUAAGGUUACCUUUUAAAUUAAAUGCCCUUCUAAAACAUAUCUCAGCAAUUUCUAUAACAAAUUUUUUUUUUCUCCUUACAAUAUUACUUUUUUUGGAAGGAAAUGGAUCUAACUACAUUUUUGCUUUGUUUUCUUUCAUAGAAAACAUACACUAAUUAUUAUCUGUCACAGCCUGAUUCAUUUUGGGAGACCUAGAAUUGA